This 730-nucleotide ribosomal RNA is filed under the name uncultured bacterium. Its description in RNAcentral is "bacterial SSU rRNA". It matches the Rfam family "Bacterial small subunit ribosomal RNA", at positions 771 to 1501 of the family's 1533-position model. The record is from RNAcentral.
AACAGGAUUAGAUACCCUGGUAGUCCACGCCGUAAACGAUGUCGACUUGGAGGUUGUUCCCUUGAGGAGUGGCUUCCGGAGCUAACGCGUUAAGUCGACCGCCUGGGGAGUACGGCCGCAAGGUUAAAACUCAAAUGAAUUGACGGGGGCCCGCACAAGCGGUGGAGCAUGUGGUUUAAUUCGAUGCAACGCGAAGAACCUUACCUACUCUUGACAUCCAGAGAACUUAGCAGAGAUGCUUUGGUGCCUUCGGGAACUCUGAGACAGGUGCUGCAUGGCUGUCGUCAGCUCGUGUUGUGAAAUGUUGGGUUAAGUCCCGCAACGAGCGCAACCCUUAUCCUUUGUUGCCAGCGGUUCGGCCGGGAACUCAAGGGAGACUGCCAGUGAUAAACUGGGGGAAGGUGGGGAUGACGUCAAGUCAUCAUGGCCCUUACGAGUAGGGCUACACACGUGCUACAAUGGCGCAUACAAAGAGAAGCGACCUCGCGAGAGCAAGCGGACCUCAUAAAGUGCGUCGUAGUCCGGAUCGGAGUCUGCAACUCGACUCCGUGAAGUCGGAAUCGCUAGUAAUCGUAGAUCAGAAUGCUACGGUGAAUACGUUCCCGGGCCUUGUACACACCGCCCGUCACACCAUGGGAGUGGGUUGCAAAAGAAGUAGGUAGCUUAACCUUCGGGAGGGCGCUUACCACUUUGUGAUUCAUGACUGGGGUGAAGUCGUAACAAGGUAACC